Long non-coding RNA from Oncorhynchus tshawytscha (Chinook salmon), 476 nucleotides. NCBI's taxonomy places the organism in Eukaryota, Metazoa, Chordata, Actinopteri, Salmoniformes, Salmonidae. The record is from Ensembl.
CACCUGCACGUCCAACAUCUCAUUCCAAGAUCAUGGGCUUUAAUAUGGAGUUGGACCCCCCUUUGCUGCUAUAACAGCCUCCACUCUUCAGGGAAGUCAUUAAUAUGGAGUUGGACCCCCCUUUGCUGCUAUAACAACCUCCACUCUUCUGGGAAGGCAUUAAUAUGGAGUUGGUCCCCCCUUUGCUGCUAUAACAGCCUCCACUCUUCUGGGAAGUCAUUAAUAUGGAGUUGUUGGACCCCCUUUGCUGCUAUAACAGCCUCCACUCUUCUGGGAAGUCAUUAAUAUGGAGUUGGUCCCCCCUUUGCUGCUAUAACAGCCUCCACUCUUCUGGGAAGGCAUUAAUAUGGAGUUGGACCCCCUUUGCUGCUAUAACAGCCUCCACUCUUCUGGGAAGUCAUUAAUAUGGAGUUGGACCCCCCUUUGCUGCUAUAACAGCCUCCACUCUUCUGGGAAGUCAUUAAUAUGGAGUUGUU